AGGCGAGGGGCGGCCUCGCAGGGCGGAGCGGCGGGGAAGGCGAGCCGGCAGCGGGAGCGGGCGUGCGAACCCCACGGGCCGAGCGCCUGCGAGAGGGGGAGGAGGAGCCGCCCCGCCGCCCGGGGAUGGUGAGGAGGAGGCGGCGGCUGCCGGCAGCCCAGUGAGGCCUUCGCUCGCCGCAGAGCCCGCCCGCCUCGCCGGCCGCCCCCUUCCCCCGCUCGCUCGCUGGCUCGCUCCCCCCUUCCCUCCCCUUCCCCUGACUCCCUCCCCGGCUCCCUUCCCCUGCCGCCGCCGCCGCCUCCUGCCCGGGUUCCAGCCAUAAAAAAAAGAAGGUGAGGAUAAUUUAUAGAAGAGAACAAGAGAAGGAGCUCUAACGUGACUCUCCCAAACACGGAAAAGAUGGUUCUGCUCCACCUUCUGUUGGAUGGUUGGUUGGACUGACUCCUUAAAGCAGGUUUCACUGCUGCAGUGCCUAGGGAAGUGAGUUAUCUCAUUAUUUAUGAAGUUAAUAACCUUUAAGGAAUUAAUAUGUACGCAAAACCGGUGUCACCAUGAUACAAUGCUGAUGUCAUGCUGUUCAUGAUUUACAGCACUUCGGCUGCGUGAGGACUAUUUCAGUGUUUAAAAAAGUAUUACAGAACUGCGUAUUGAAAAACAAGCAGAGAACACUAAGAGAAAGACCAAGUUGUUUAGCUUUUGACAGUAUUCAGUCCUGUACAGACACAGACUGGAGCAGCCAGGUCAUACUUACCUCAGAUGCCCUCUCUUCACUGGGAACCAUUCCUAGAUGGCCAUAAAUAAGGGCUGUAAUCGUUCUUUUUUUUCUUUUUCCCCUCUAAGGAUUUUAUGGAAAAGGAACUUUUUCUGGUUUACACAUCUUCAGUAGUACAUUGACCUGUAGUUAACUUGCUCUUCUAUUCCGAGAAAUUACUCUUGCUUGCUGCCACUGUCUUCAAUAGCGUCUCUUACUAAAAUAGAUGUAUUAGGCACAGCUUGAAUGUGUGUUUCAAAAUACAGGAGAUAGAGCAGGUUUGCUGCUGCUGGAACUGUGUCUAUGGACAUCUUGUUAGACAGUGAGAGGGGAUACCCAGCUCUUCACAUUGCAAAUUAAAAAUAGCUUAACUUUCUCCGUGUGAAGUAAGUGCUGUGACAUGGCUGACUGAAGGACUGAGGUGGGACCCAUGCUGCAGGUUGGUGUCAGGAAGUAUUUAAUGUUUUUCCACUUUGUUGUGCCAUGGUUUCUUUACAAAACUCUCCACCCCCUUCACCACCCCUCUCCCCUGCAAAGAAGUGGGCAGGUAAAGACACAUCCUUGAGAGCACAGCUACAACAGCAAGUGGGAAAUGCUUCUGGGGUAGAAAUGGUAGGGAAAAGGCAGUCCAGGCUGCUUGGACACCACAGAGAGCAGAAAAAGUAGUCCCUCUGAACUUUAUAUUUCUUUCCUGGUCUGCUUUUUUUUGGCUCUGUUGUCAUUCAAAUUUGGAUUAUUAAAUGACAGUUCAGCUGAUGACAAGCAGGAAGCUGCCAAGUGGUAAUCCUGGCACAUGUUAAUGCAGGAAAACCUGGAGUAAGUUAGCUGCAGAUUGGAGCAUUCUGGUCCUUCAUGCUUUUUUAUGUUUUUAAUAAUAGUAUUGCCCUUUCUAUGGCCUACUUUGUCUUGUAACUUCCUUUUUUAUGUAUGGUUGUUGGAAAGGAUAUUGACUGCUCAGUGCCUCUAAAUGGUUGAAUUCAAGGUGCAGAGGUAGGAUUGCACAGUCCCUGCACCCUGUAUGACACAAAGUUAAAAGCGUUAACUUUCACACCUGGGUGUUGCAUUUCCAUACUCAAGCUGUGAUAAUCUUGGGGGUUUUGUUCAACACUUUGCAAAUUGCUCAAGCCUUUAAGUGAGGUCUAGUCUCCUUUUGACAUCAGCAAGCAAGUCUAGCUUGCACGGCUACUGUGCAUUAUACAUGGCCAUUUUGAAAGGAAAAAGCCCGCUGUGUUUGUCAGAUUCUAUCCUAAUUGCUCUGGAGCUCAAGGAGUUUGUUCCGAGGUAUCUCUGGCAGCUGUGGAUUACUGGUCUCUAUUCUGCAGCAUACGGUGUUCUCAUAUUUAUUUAUGAAAUUAGGAAUUCUUACAUGUCACUUGUUCCAAUCUAAUUUUUUGUGUCUUCCCUCCCUCAGGCAAACAUCUGUUUUGUGGAGUUGAUAAUUCUAACUAGUGAGAUCGGCAGAUUUGUAAUUUGGAAAAAAAAACCAAAACAAACUCACCUUGUUUCUGGGGAGAACUUCAACAUAAACUGUUAACUGGAAAAGCUGAGGAACAGUAACAAACAGUGUAGGUCUGUAGGCAGAGUGUCAGGGGAGUGACCUCCUUUCUCCGUCCGUUUCUGCUGGCAGUGAUGGAACUUGUUCAAAUUUGAGCUUUGUGCUUUGAACACUGCCUGUUUCAAAUCACUCUGAUGUGGUACAAAGCCCUCUGCCCCUGCUGGGGUUUCAGUUCUAGGUUGGAUUCAUUUUGACCACCUGUUUUCUUCCAUCCAGUGUUGUGUCUUAGUGAGUUAUGGGGAAUUAGUUGCUUUUAAAUCUAGUUUCUGAUGGAUGGCUAUCACCUGCAUGCUCAGAGAUAAUUGAUGCAGACGUGCCAACUGCAUGCAGAGAUGGUAUAUAUUUGUCAGGUGGGAAUGGAAUGUCUCUGUGGUAGGUGAGAGACUCCACUAAAAGCCAGCUCUUUGGUGGCAGUUUACAAAUGUUGCUGGGUUUUGUUUUAUUAAACUUAUUGGUUACUGCUGGGAAUUUGUCACCAAUUAGGUUUUUUGAUCACUCAAGUAAUACCAAAUUGAAUGGCAGCAUGGACACUUUGGGGAGCACAGAGGAAUUAAAGGAAAAACAGGGAAUAUUUGUACCACAAGCAGAAAAAUAAUCAGAUUCAAUUUAGAAAAAUAAUAAAAGCUAAUGCAUUUGGGAAGAGAUUACAUUCAGUGAGGGAGAGAAAUGCACAGAAUGUUUCUGUGGUAGUCAGCCAUGAGCAAGGCACAUUCUCAAUAAGAAAUGGCAAUCUUGAGCUAUUUAGAGAGAGAUUUUGUCUCAUAAAGCAGAGGGGUAAAAAUCCCAAGUUGUGCUUGGGUAUAUUUCAUUGUUAUAAAGGCAGCAGCAAACUGCAGUGCAGUUAAGGAAGAACAAUAAAAUUGAUCAGGGUGCUGUAAGGGCUGAUUUGGGAUAACAGUAAGGUAUGUAAGCUUAUCUAUGGUUGUUUGUAUACCCUAGAAGAGGUAAAAGUUAGAAAUACCAAAGGUAGAGAAGAUUCUUUUUUGGGAGUCAAGGAGAUCUGAGUAGGAUUAAGGGAAUGAAAGUACGAAAAAGUACAAAAAUCUGAAGCAGGAUAUUUAUUGUCAGAGGUUUAUCUCUAAGACACACUGUGUGCUAGUUAAUAGAUUAUUAUCAGGCUGUAAAGAAACCUUCCAGGAGAUGUUCUGGAAGUCUUACCAGGAAACAUUGAAAACUGGUCUUUGUGAUAUUUCAGAAUUUUUAUUGUUGCAAAUAAUGAGGUGGUGUUGCAGACAUGAAGGUCUACUAGGUAAGGUCUUGAAUCCACCUGUAAUUCAGACAGCUCCUGGUAGUAUUGUGAGUCUGCCAGUGAUCAGCCUGCUCACUCAAGGACUUUAGCAAGCCUGGUUUUGGCACCUCCACCUGCCAAGAUAAAUUCUUGUGGAGAGCUAAGCCCUUGUUUAAGAUUUGUAAUAAUAAUAGAACAGAAAAAUCCCAAAGCAACAAUGCAGCAAUGAAAACUACUCCCUGUUGUAUCCCUUGUUAUACAUCUGCGACAUGCUUUGAGAUGAUGGUGUACUCUUCUUUUGAUCCUUUUAGAAAUAGCUGGGAAGGAGGAAAACAGAGGAAAAACCCUCAUCCCUCUUGUGGAACCUUCUGCUGGAGUUCUGGAAUUUCAGAAGAGUGAUCUUUUGACAUAAACUGGUUUUUCAAGAGACAUUCCUGCCAUUAUGAAUGAAGUAGCGAUAGUGAAGGAAGGCUGGCUUCACAAACGAGGAGAAUAUAUCAAAACAUGGAGGCCGCGGUAUUUUCUUUUGAAGAAUGAUGGCACCUUCAUCGGCUACAAGGAACGGCCACAGGAUGUUGACCAGCGGGAAUCACCUUUAAAUAACUUCUCAGUAGCUCG
Catharus ustulatus (Swainson's thrush) is the source of this 4152-nucleotide long non-coding RNA. RefSeq lists it as uncharacterized. NCBI's taxonomy places the organism in Eukaryota, Metazoa, Chordata, Aves, Passeriformes, Turdidae. The transcript has 3 exons. The record is from RefSeq and is a predicted model, not a curated record.